GUCAGUCUCUGGCCUUGCAAGAGCACACAUUUGAAGGUAGACUCAGACUCAAAAAGAACAUGAACUGAUCCAGACAAUGAUGUCUUUGAUCUGAAAACCAGCAGCCACUUCCAGUUGGAGACUGCUGUGCUGGAAGCCCUGCAAUGGGCAGUGCAAGGUCCAACAGCAGCUGACCACCAGCAACAUCCCCUGGAGCAGGUAACGUGCAGAGGUUUGCAGUGCCAAGGAAUCACAGAGUAUCUCAGGUGGAAUGGACCCCUGAGUUCUCAUGAUACAUAACAACCUAAUGAAAAAUACUCUGAAAAAUUAAAGCAAAAUUAAAGCAAAUUCCCUCUGCAGUGAA
Melospiza melodia melodia is the source of this 343-nucleotide long non-coding RNA. RefSeq lists it as uncharacterized. The record is from RefSeq and is a predicted model, not a curated record. Lineage: Eukaryota; Metazoa; Chordata; Aves; Passeriformes; Passerellidae. The transcript has 2 exons.